AUUGAACGCUGGCGGCAGGCCUAACACAUGCAAGUCGAGCGAGCGGCGGACGGGUGAGUAAUGUCUGGGAAUCUGCAAGAUAGAGGGGGAUAACUACGGGAAACGGUGGCUAAUACCGCCUACUAUCGGAUGAACCCAUAUGGGAUUAGCUAGUAGGUGGGGUAAAGGCUCACCUAGGCGACGAUCUCUAGCUUGUCUGAGAGGAUGAUCAGCCACACGUGAACUGAGACACUGCCCAGACUCCUCCGGGAGGCAGCAGUGGGGAAUAUUGCACAAUGGGCGCAAGCCUGAUGUAGCCAUGCCGCGUGUAUGAAGAAGGCCUUCGGGUUGUAAAGUACUUUCAGCGGGGAGGCGUUACCCGCAGAAGAAGCACCGGCUAACUCCGUGCCAGCAGCCGCGGUAAUAC
This 406-nucleotide ribosomal RNA is filed under the name uncultured bacterium. RNAcentral's name for it is "partial 16S ribosomal RNA". It matches the Rfam family "Bacterial small subunit ribosomal RNA", at positions 30 to 526 of the family's 1533-position model. The record is from RNAcentral.